This 177-nucleotide non-coding RNA is filed under the name Bacillus subtilis. RNAcentral's name for it is "6S RNA". It matches the Rfam family "6S / SsrS RNA", at positions 20 to 187 of the family's 187-position model. Rfam says of the family: E. coli 6S RNA was the first non coding RNA to be sequenced, but its function was unknown until recently. It consists of 184 nucleotides that fold into an extended hairpin structure with a large single-stranded internal bulge. Lineage: Bacteria; Bacillati; Bacillota; Bacilli; Caryophanales; Bacillaceae. The record is from RNAcentral.
UAAGAACUGAAUGUGCAGUUCGAUUCUUGAAAAUCAAACGGGAGCCCGCAUUUUUAAAUGGCGUACAUGCCUCUUUUCAUUCGGUAAAGAGGACUUACAAGAUUUAAAAGAGGGCACCCACCUGCUGAGAGCGGGUUCAAAACAAAGGAAAGCUGCAACGGCACUAUUGGGACUUUA